GACGAACGCUGGCGGCGUGCCUAAUACAUGCAAGUCGAGCGAGCGGAACCAGCAGAUCUGCUUCGGCAGUGACGCUGGGAAAGCGAGCGGCGGAUGGGUGAGUAACACGUGGGGAACCUGCCCCAAAGUCUGGGAUACCACUUGGAAACAGGUGCUAAUACCGGAUAAGAAAGCAGAUCGCAUGAUCAGCUUUUAAAAGGCGGCGUAAGCUGUCGCUAUGGGAUGGCCCCGCGGUGCAUUAGCUAGUUGGUAGAGUAACGGCCUACCAAGGCAAUGAUGCAUAGCCGAGUUGAGAGACUGAUCGGCCACAUUGGGACUGAGACGCGGCCCAAACUCCUACGGGAGGCAGCAGUAGGGAAUCGUUCACA
RNAcentral lists this ribosomal RNA (368 nucleotides) under Lactobacillus sp. oral taxon 461. RNAcentral describes it as "bacterial SSU rRNA". It matches the Rfam family "Bacterial small subunit ribosomal RNA", at positions 28 to 370 of the family's 1533-position model. The record is from RNAcentral. Lineage: Bacteria; Bacillati; Bacillota; Bacilli; Lactobacillales; Lactobacillaceae.